CUGGCGGCGUGCUAAUACAUGCAAGUCGAGCGAAGCAUGUGACGGAAGUCCCCUCCGGGAGGAAGAUGACAUGACUUAGUGGCGGACGGGUGAGUAACGCGUGGGCAAUCUGCCCUGUACAGGGGGACAACAGUUGGAAACGACUGCUAAUACCGCAUAAGCGCACGAUGACCGCAUGGUCAGGUGUGAAAAGGAGCAAUCCGGUACAGGAUGAGCCCGCGUCCGAUUAGCCAGUUGGCGGGUAACGGCCCACCAAAGCUACGAUCGGUAGCCGACUUGAGAGAGUGAUCGGCCACAUUGGGACUGAGACACGGCCCAGACUCCUACGGGAGGCAGCAGUAGGGAAUAUUGCACAAUGGGGGAAACCCUGAUGCAGCGACGCCCGCGUGAGUGAAGAAGCAUUUCGGUGCGUAAAGCUCUAUCAGCAGGGAAGAUGAUGACGGUACCUGACUAAGAAGCCCCGGCUAACUACGUGCCAGCAGCCGC
RNAcentral lists this ribosomal RNA (486 nucleotides) under uncultured bacterium. RNAcentral describes it as "bacterial SSU rRNA". It matches the Rfam family "Bacterial small subunit ribosomal RNA", at positions 36 to 518 of the family's 1533-position model. The record is from RNAcentral.